GUUCACCAUCCUCCAAGGCUAAAUACUCCUGACUGACCGAUAGUGAACCAGUACCGUGAGGGAAAGGCGAAAAGAACCCCUGUGAGGGGAGUGAAAUAGAUCCUGAAACCGUAUGCGUACAAGCAGUCGGAGCGGACUUGUUCCGUGACGGCGUACCUUUUGUAUAAUGGGUCAGCGACUUAUAUUUAGUAGCAAGGUUAAGUGAAUAACGGAGCCGUAGCCAAAGCGAG
This 230-nucleotide ribosomal RNA is filed under the name Alexandrium margalefii. RNAcentral's name for it is "partial Bacterial large subunit ribosomal RNA". It matches the Rfam family "Bacterial large subunit ribosomal RNA", at positions 448 to 681 of the family's 2925-position model. Lineage: Eukaryota; Dinophyceae; Gonyaulacales; Pyrocystaceae. The record is from RNAcentral.